GUAGAUAUAGUUUAACAAAAACAUUAGACUGUGAAUCUAAAAAUAGAAACUAACAACUCUUAUCUACC
This 68-nucleotide transfer RNA is filed under the name Pteronotus personatus (Wagner's mustached bat). RNAcentral's name for it is "tRNA-His". It matches the Rfam family "tRNA". From Rfam's summary of the family: Transfer RNA (tRNA) molecules are approximately 80 nucleotides in length. Lineage: Eukaryota; Metazoa; Chordata; Mammalia; Chiroptera; Mormoopidae. The record is from RNAcentral.